UACAGAGGUCCCGAGCGUUGUUCGGAUUCACUGGGCGUAAAGGGUGCGUAGGUGGUUGUGCAAGUCUGAUGUGAAAUCUCCGGGCUUAACCCGGAAAUGGCAUUGGAAACUGCAUGGCUAGAGGGUUGGAGGGGGGACUGGAAUACUUGGUGUAGCAGUGAAAUGCGUAGAUAUCAAGUGGAACACCAGUGGCGAAGGCGAGUCCCUGGACGACACCUGACACUGAGGCACGAAAGCUAGGGGAGCAAACAGG
This 253-nucleotide ribosomal RNA is filed under the name uncultured bacterium. RNAcentral describes it as "partial 16S ribosomal RNA". It matches the Rfam family "Bacterial small subunit ribosomal RNA", at positions 524 to 776 of the family's 1533-position model. The record is from RNAcentral.